CGAUCUGGCUCAGGAUGAACGCUAGCUACAGGCUUAACACAUGCAAGUCGAGGGGCAGCAUGAUCUAAGCUUGCUUAGAUUGAUGGCGACCGGCGCACGGGUGAGUAACGCGUAUCCAACCUUCCCUAUAGUAGAGGAUAGCCCGGCGAAAGUCGGAUUAAUACUCUAUGUUUUCCAAUGCAGACAUCUAAAAUGGAACAAAGGUUUACCGCUAUAGGAUGGGGAUGCGUCUGAUUAGGUUGUUGGCGGGGUAACGGCCCACCAAGCCUACGAUCAGUAGGGGUUCUGAGAGGAAGGUCCCCCACAUUGGAACUGAGACACGGUCCAAACUCCUACGGGAGGCAGCAGUGAGGAAUAUUGGUCAAUGGGCGAGAGCCUGAACCAGCCAAGUAGCGUGCAGGAAUGACGGCCCUAUGGGUUGUAAACUGCUUUUAUACAGGGAUAAAGUGCGCCACGUGUGGCGUUUUGUAGGUACUGUAUGAAUAAGGACCGGCUAAUUCCGUGCCAGCAGCAGC
RNAcentral lists this ribosomal RNA (515 nucleotides) under uncultured bacterium. RNAcentral describes it as "bacterial SSU rRNA". It matches the Rfam family "Bacterial small subunit ribosomal RNA", at positions 14 to 518 of the family's 1533-position model. The record is from RNAcentral.